RNAcentral lists this ribosomal RNA (834 nucleotides) under Bacillus amyloliquefaciens. Its description in RNAcentral is "bacterial SSU rRNA". It matches the Rfam family "Bacterial small subunit ribosomal RNA", at positions 60 to 873 of the family's 1533-position model. Lineage: Bacteria; Bacillati; Bacillota; Bacilli; Caryophanales; Bacillaceae. The record is from RNAcentral.
AGUCGAGCGGACAGAUGGGAGCUUGCUCCCUGAUGUUAGCGGCGGACGGGUGAGUAACACGUGGGUAACCUGCCUGUAAGACUGGGAUAACUCCGGGAAACCGGGGCUAAUACCGGAUGGUUGUCUGAACCGCAUGGUUCAGACAUAAAAGGUGGCUUCGGCUACCACUUACAGAUGGACCCGCGGCGCAUUAGCUAGUUGGUGAGGUAACGGCUCACCAAGGCGACGAUGCGUAGCCGACCUGAGAGGGUGAUCGGCCACACUGGGACUGAGACACGGCCCAGACUCCUACGGGAGGCAGCAGUAGGGAAUCUUCCGCAAUGGACGAAAGUCUGACGGAGCAACGCCGCGUGAGUGAUGAAGGUUUUCGGAUCGUAAAGCUCUGUUGUUAGGGAAGAACAAGUGCCGUUCAAAUAGGGCGGCACCUUGACGGUACCUAACCAGAAAGCCACGGCUAACUACGUGCCAGCAGCCGCGGUAAUACGUAGGUGGCAAGCGUUGUCCGGAAUUAUUGGGCGUAAAGGGCUCGCAGGCGGUUUCUUAAGUCUGAUGUGAAAGCCCCCGGCUCAACCGGGGAGGGUCAUUGGAAACUGGGGAACUUGAGUGCAGAAGAGGAGAGUGGAAUUCCACGUGUAGCGGUGAAAUGCGUAGAGAUGUGGAGGAACACCAGUGGCGAAGGCGACUCUCUGGUCUGUAACUGACGCUGAGGAGCGAAAGCGUGGGGAGCGAACAGGAUUAGAUACCCUGGUAGUCCACGCCGUAAACGAUGAGUGCUAAGUGUUUAGGGGGGUUUCCGCCCCUUAGUGCUGCAGCUAACGCAUUAAGCACUCCGCC